This 253-nucleotide ribosomal RNA is filed under the name uncultured bacterium. RNAcentral's name for it is "partial 16S ribosomal RNA". It matches the Rfam family "Bacterial small subunit ribosomal RNA", at positions 524 to 776 of the family's 1533-position model. The record is from RNAcentral.
UACGAAGGGGGCUAGCGUUGCUCGGAAUGACUGGGCGUAAAGGGCGCGUAGGCGGCUUGUAUAGUCGGAUGUGAAAUUCCUGGGCUUAACCUGGGGGCUGCAUACGAGACGUAUGGGCUUGAGUGCGGAAGAGGGUCGUGGAAUUCCCAGUGUAGAGGUGAAAUUCGUAGAUAUCUGCAGGAACACCCGUGGCGAAAGCGGCGCGCUGGACCACUACUGACGCUGAGGAACGAAAGCUAGGGGAGCAAACAGG